RNAcentral lists this non-coding RNA (185 nucleotides) under Leptolyngbya sp. SIO4C1. Its description in RNAcentral is "6S RNA". It matches the Rfam family "6S / SsrS RNA". From Rfam's summary of the family: E. coli 6S RNA was the first non coding RNA to be sequenced, but its function was unknown until recently. It consists of 184 nucleotides that fold into an extended hairpin structure with a large single-stranded internal bulge. Lineage: Bacteria; Bacillati; Cyanobacteriota; Cyanophyceae; Leptolyngbyales; Leptolyngbyaceae. The record is from RNAcentral.
GUUUCACUACGGCGUUGGUGACUGCCAACAAUGUUUCUUGAUCUAUGCUGAUUCGACUUGGGAACUGAGCAGUUCUGCGGUGGCAGUAAACCGGGCUUGCACUCGGAAACUAUAAAUCGCAGCCACGGUUCCCCCCUGGUUUUACCAGGUCAAAAACUGAGGUAAAACGGCGUCGCGGUGAAAUU